AGAGUUUGAUCCUGGCUCAGGAUGAACGCUAGCUACAGGCUUAACACAUGCAAGUCGAGGGGAAACGACAUCGAAAGCUUGCUUUUGAUGGGCGUCGACCGGCGCACGGGUGAGUAACGCGUAUCCAACCUGCCCACCACUUGGGGAUAACCUUGCGAAAGUAAGACUAAUACCCAAUGACGUCUCUAGAAGACAUCUGAAAGAGAUUAAAGAUUUAUCGGUGAUGGAUGGGGAUGCAUCUGAUUAGCUUGUUGGCGGGGUAACGCCACAAGGCGACGAUCAGUAGGGUUCUGAGAGGAAGGUCCCCCANAUUGGAACUGAGACACGGUCCAAACUCCGUACGGGAGGCA
This 350-nucleotide ribosomal RNA is filed under the name uncultured bacterium. RNAcentral's name for it is "bacterial SSU rRNA". It matches the Rfam family "Bacterial small subunit ribosomal RNA", at positions 8 to 350 of the family's 1533-position model. The record is from RNAcentral.